GAUAGGCGUGAGAUCAGAAGUUUGUGUUGGGGAGAAUGUGAGGUUACAUGAUCAUGAUUGUAGUAAGACUUAUGGCAGCAUGUAGGCUAGCACAAGAUCAUUUUAAAAGAUUCGCAAGUAAAAAUGAAGCAGUGAGCAUUUAGAUAUUUUCAGUCAGUAGACCGUUUCACGUAGGAGCUGGAAUAGUUAUAACAAAGCGUGGAGCUGAGGAACACAGCAGGUCAGGCAGCUUCGGAGGAACAGGAAUGCUGAAAUCUGAAACACUGCUGUUUUUACUUUUGCAGAAGUACUUCUGAAAGCGGACUUCAGUUUGUCUAUACCAGAUUGAUGCUGCUGGAUCUGGUGAGCUUUUCCAGGAAUUUCUGUUUGUGUCACUGCAGCAAGUACUCCAUUACUCUCGGGGAUAGUAAGAACUGCUGAUGCUGGAGUCUGAGAUAACAGUGUGGAGCUGGAGGAACACAGCAGGCCAGGCAGCAUCACAGGAACAGGAAAGCUGAUGUUUCGGGUCGGGACCCUUCUUCAGAAAAUCCUUUCCUAAUUGCCCAGAGGGCAGUUAAGAGUCAACCACAUUGCUGUGGGUCUGGAGCCACAUGUAGGCCAGACCAGAUGAUCAAAACCAUAAACAUCAGAUUAUCUUAGGUCUCUGACUGCAGGACGUUAAGGUUGUCUUUACUCAACAAAGAAUCAAGAAAGCGGUAAACAAUAUCCACACUAAAGGUGCUCUGGAAAGUCAAAGAUAUGUGAAUAUAGAAAUGAAUGAUGCUUCAUUUUACUAGAAACAAGGAUGUUUUAUGACGGAGAACGACAUGAAACUAAAAUUUCAUUGGACUUAACCAUUUGCUGAGCUAAAUUUAUUUUACAGACUUCUGUCAAACUUUGAAUAUCUUUGAAUUAAUAUCAACGGAGAUUUUGCCAUAUUUUUCAACUCUGCUCUGAAUUUGCUCUGUGUGGCUGCAUAAAUACAAGGGUUUAGAAAACAAUUAAAAAACUUCAAGAUAUCUCCCACUUCAAUGGCAAUAAAUUCAGCAUUUGUGAACUUUCCUUGGUAAUAAACGGUGUUUGUCAGUUUGGUAACGCCUAAACUCACAGCAUUUGUCAACCAGAGCAGGAGAAAACUUACUGAGAUAGAGAAUAAUAAAAUGAUGGACUUUCUGCGGUUCUCCAUUUCUGAGUCACUUUGAUUCCCACUUUUGGAGCUCCGGAGUCCAGUGCGGGUUCUAUUUGCUCGUACAAUACGUUGAACAGUUAACGAAUUACACAAGACAAUCAGAGUAAAAGGAAUCCAAAUGACCCAGGCACUAUAAAACCAGACAUAACCUAGACCUGCAGAAGAAGAAAAAAAUGUUGGACUUGACCGGCAGCCCCACUGCACUUUGUUAAUAAUUUUCUCAGGUUCAUAAGCAAACAAAACCGGUAUUUCCUUCAAUACGAUCACAACCAUGAUGGUUAUUACCAGUGUGAUUGCAGUGCUUCUGGUGCAAUACCUUGUUUGAAAUGUCUGGCAACAGAUGACUACAAAUCGGUCAAAUGUGAAGAAGACAAUGCACCAAACAGAUAAAUCGGGAGUGACAGCAGUCAUGUAUAUUAUGAAUCUGCAAACAGGGGUAUGGGACAGGAAUGACAAAGGAAAGUGAUAACUGAAGACGUGAUAGAAUAUUACAUUGUUGAUCAGGACCAGUAGAUCUGUUGUUGCCAUGGCCAACAUGUAAACAGUGAUACACUUGGAAAGGCCACACUUUCUUCGUGAAAGAAUCCAAAUUGUGGCCAUGUUUGCUACAAGACAGAUAAAAACAAGCAGUAAAUAAUAUAUCAAUGCCUGAUUCAA
Rhincodon typus (whale shark) is the source of this 1825-nucleotide long non-coding RNA. RefSeq lists it as uncharacterized. Lineage: Eukaryota; Metazoa; Chordata; Chondrichthyes; Orectolobiformes; Rhincodontidae. The record is from RefSeq and is a predicted model, not a curated record. The transcript has 3 exons.